GAAAGUGCUAAGAUUACAGGAGCUGUAAAAUUGACAAGCUUGGCAUGUGGAAAUCAGCACAUCUGGGCCUGUGAUUCCAGGGGUGGAGUUUACUUCCGUGUAGGGACUCAGCCUCUCAAUCCCAGUCUCAUGCUUCCAGCCUGGAUAAUGAUUGAGCCACCUGUCCAGGUAAGCAGAAGUUAGCUGGUGGAACUCACUCUUCAGUAAGACAGAAACUGUGAGGAUGCUGGUACUGGGAAAAAGGAUCUGCACAGCCUCUAGAGGCCUCCCAGCAAAUGCGGGG
This 283-nucleotide long non-coding RNA is filed under the name Homo sapiens (human). RNAcentral's name for it is "HSALNT0216303". The record is from RNAcentral. Lineage: Eukaryota; Metazoa; Chordata; Mammalia; Primates; Hominidae.